This is a long non-coding RNA of Perognathus longimembris pacificus (Pacific pocket mouse), 417 nucleotides long. RefSeq lists it as uncharacterized. The transcript is spliced from 3 exons. The record is from RefSeq and is a predicted model, not a curated record. NCBI's taxonomy places the organism in Eukaryota, Metazoa, Chordata, Mammalia, Rodentia, Heteromyidae.
GGCAUUCGCAGGGAAAUGGUCAGAACUUGAACAAAUAAUUCCAAGUGAGACAAGCCAAGAACAGAGACACAAAUGGCAUAUGGUCUUCCUGAUAUGUGGGUGUUAGAAUUAAAAUGCAAAGAGAUAGACCAAAGUAAACAGGUCUCAAGAUACCAAAACAUAGUAAGAAGCAAAGAGGACACAGAAUGAGUGGAAACUGUGUGAGAAUAGUAACAAUAAUAACAACAACAAUAAAAUAAAGAUGGAACCAUCCCUACAUCGGACACUGAGGAAAGGGAACCAAGCAUCUCAUGGGUGGGAUUGGGAAGGAAGGAAUGAAUGAAGCAGAGAACAGAUGUUGCUAAACAAAAGAAACGUAAAGUACAUAUCACCUGAAAUGGAGAAAGUGUCUGUAUUAUUAAAGAUCAUAGACUUCAU